AGUAAUGAAUUGCUUUGAUGAAGCAUUAAGCUGACUGUACUUUACCCAUUAGUCUGCAUAAUCUUCUAGCUAAUGACUCCAUUGUAUGUUUAUCUCGAACAGACUCCAAAUUGGAGAAAGAUUCCACAAAAGCUAAGGAUAAGCCAAUAAUAAACACUGCAAAGAAGAAAGCGGAUAAAGGGACCAAAAUGGACAAAGAAACCACAAAAUUAAGAGAUGAACUGGCAAAGAAAACUUCAAAGAAGAUGACAGAUGACACAAAACUGGACAAAGAUGCUGCAAAAGUGAAGGGCAAAUUGGCAAAGAACGCUUUGAAGAAAAAGGCAGACAAAG
Long non-coding RNA from Anguilla rostrata (American eel), 333 nucleotides. RefSeq lists it as uncharacterized. Lineage: Eukaryota; Metazoa; Chordata; Actinopteri; Anguilliformes; Anguillidae. The transcript is spliced from 3 exons. The record is from RefSeq and is a predicted model, not a curated record.